UAUGAAAGUAUGGUUGCGGGCACUUGAGCAUCAACCCUUAGUUCUGGCAGAGCAGGAAUCCAGGCAUGCCUUGUCCACAUUGUACUUUAUCUCUGAGACGGUUCUCUAUAGGAAGGGGGAAGAUUGUCAGUGAAACAAAUAGAGAUACUUGACCAUGGAGACGUUGAUUCAUUGUUCUAUGAAAGCGAGACAACACUAGGCUGGAUGAAAGCACCGCUCCUUGCCUGAAGAUAUGCGAGUUCAUUUCCAGUUAUGUUCAGGCUAUAGCUUGAGUCUAUGUUUGUACGGAAACAUGAAAUGUGAUGUUUGCUGAGAGAAAAAAAUCUGUUAGA
Triticum dicoccoides is the source of this 332-nucleotide long non-coding RNA. RefSeq lists it as uncharacterized. The record is from RefSeq and is a predicted model, not a curated record. Lineage: Eukaryota; Viridiplantae; Streptophyta; Magnoliopsida; Poales; Poaceae. The transcript has 3 exons.